Molecule: long non-coding RNA, 4955 nt
Organism: Amphiprion ocellaris (clown anemonefish)
Lineage: Eukaryota; Metazoa; Chordata; Actinopteri; Pomacentridae
Source: Ensembl
UUCAUGAAAAUUUGACAUUUUAAUGGAAACUAAAAUUGUGAACACUGGAGUUUUCUUUUUUAUUGACUCUAUUACAUUGUUUGGAAUUUGAGGGUUAUUUAUCAUGCUUUAAAAAAAGAACAAACAUUGUAAUGUGACACUUGUGUUAAAUUCAGAAAAAAAAUUAAAUAAUCAGACUGCUCACUUAAAAACUUAAAAUGCCAACCUGUAAGACAUUUGAGAAAGAAAUGCUAUUGCCUCGUGUUUUAGGGGGGCAGGAGAUGGAGAAGUUGUAAGAGGAGGAGCAGACCAGAAAAAAAAGAAUAAUAGUAAUGCAUCAACAAGCACAACAGCCAUCUGAGAUGACACAGAGAAACAAAACAAAAAGAUGACUCGGCACAACAUAUCAUCUCUUAUCAUGACUGAAUCCUGUAAAGACACGUCGCCUUGUUGACUUUCCUCCUCGUGUGGAAGCAGAAACACUGUACCUCUCAGGUGUCACUGAAUAACAACAAAAAAUUUUUAAAAAGCGCCCCCUAAAUUAAAACAUUUCCACGAGAGGCAGUUUAAAGGAGGGACAGUUUUUAAGUCGAGCACAAACACCAAGUCCAGCAUUUCCCAUUGCAGAUGACUGAUUACUGGAUGAAGAAGCAGCACUUUCGGCAUUUGUUUAUCUUGUUACAAUUUCUCCUCACUCUAUUACGAUGCGCUCAAAGUGACAUUCAGCUGCUACAGUAGUGACUUCUCAUCUUCUUCAUCGCCCUCCCUGUCUGUGCCAUUCAGUAGCUGAAUAUCUGAGUAGUGUACCUUUGGCGAAAGCAGAUUCAGAGUUGUUGAACUGCACGUUAAUACCUCACUCCCCCUCACAACAUGAUCAACAACACGACAACGAAAUAAAAUAUAUAUUACGAGGAACUCUGGAUGCAGUGUAUUUCAAUGCUCAUCACUCCAUCACAACUAUCUGCAGAAAUGCAAUAAAGUAAGUUGUAUAAAAUCUGCUGGAAAAUAAAAAAGAAGAGUAACUUCAAAUAUAUUAACAUUGCUGCUAUUGGGGGGGGGGGGGGGGAAAUAGGUCUACAUCAGCCUUAAUCAAAAACUAAAACAUCUAAAGCUCAUCAAAAAUGAGACGUCUUGAUUUUCUUUAUCCUUUAUUUCCAUUUAGUCUCAUCCUACGUGUGCAUCUACGGAUAAAUUAGGUUAUAACUCAAAUUUUUUUUUUAAAAACAUAUGUUAAAAGAUUAAUUUGUUAAAUCAGUUUCAAAUGAAUUAUGUGCUACUUCAGACAUUAUCUUGACAAUGGACUGGCAUGAGUAUACACCAGCAAGCAGUUAUCCAUCAUCCAUCCCCAUUCAAACCGAUUUUGGCUUUUAGGUCACACAAUUUCCAAGCCAUUAAAAAUUCCAAAAAACCUACGAAACACAUAAAAUUGCUUUCAGCUGCAUCCAUGUUGCUUAAAAGGAGGAAAAUUAGGAUUAGCUGUAAGAAAACUUAAACAGCAUUGCAAAUGUUACAAAAAAAGAAGAAGAAGAAAGAAAAAAUGGCACGGAUAUAUGCUGGAAGCAGAUCUUAAACAAUCAAAAUUGCUGUAAAAGUUUUUUUUUUUUUUCCUUUUCCCACACAGGCACCUGAAAAUGAAACAACAGAAGGGGAGGGACAGGGAGGACUUUUCUUUUUUUUGAAAUAUAUGAGGAACUUGCAUAUAAUAGGAAGAACUUGCUAUGCACACACCCAACAAACAAACUUGCCACUCGCAACCUGGAAGCCUGCAUCAGCAUCCUUGAGGUGAUUGCACAUCCUGAGGGGGUGGAAAUAGAAACUCCACAUGAUCAGGCUUUUUAUUUUUAGUUUUUUUUCUCUGUUCUUUCUUUCUCAACAACACCAACAACAGUCAGUCGCCCCCACCCCUCAAUCACUUGAUUAACCAUCUACUCAGCUUCAAGAACCUGUUUUUUGGUUUGCAGGCUACAAUGCUAAAUAAUAGUUUUAUCUCAAAAAAAUGCAUAUUCAGCAUAGCCUCGGUGCUGUAUUAAGUGCUUGAAAAAGAGGAUUCUUGGGGUGGGAGGUUAGGUGAUUCGAUUUUCCUGUACCAGGACAGUUCUCUCCAAAAAAUAAAAAAAGCACAAGACAAAAAGAAAAAAAGUAUUCAUUGUAAGACUACAGUAACAUUACAUACUACUCAUUUUGAUCACCCUGUUUUACAUUUAGAAGCCUAGAGAUGCAUCGCUGUCCACUGUUAAUACUUUCAACAAUUUGGCAUAUGGUCACCUGAUUAUGUCGCUUUCUUUGCGGAUUAUGGGGGAAUCAGAGGAAAUUAGUUUUUCGUGUAGCUUUAUGCUAGAUUAAAUGUCACGUUCAACAACAUAAAAAUUCUAAUGGACAGUAUCUCCUCAAUGGAUUCCUCGUGGACCAGGUCUGACAGAACUGUUCUUAUUCAGAGGGCAGCGUCUCAUGAUUCGCCUCAUCCAUCACACGCCGUACAACAGAAGCCAAAACAAAAGCAUUUUAAAUACCAGAGAGCUGACUGUGAUUUGGACGCGGAAGUUAAAUGUCAAGAUGACUUGUACAAAAACAUGGCUGCAGUUGCGGCUUUCCCUCUCGGCAUGAGCUACGGUGCUGCCUAAUCAGGACACAGUGGAAAGAAGCAUACUUGAAAGCUCAUAUCCAGAUUACAGCGACCCCCGAAGAACGCACCGCUGAUGUUCAGUGUUAAUAAAUCAAGAGGUGCUUCGCUAUGAAGACAUGCAGGAGAAAAUGAACCGUCAAAAAGAUUGCAGGGAGAUUACGGUCUAGUAUACAAAGAAAACAGCGCAUGGAGCAAUGUGCUUGUUUUUGUUAAAGAAGGGAGGAAAAUAAACUUAUUUCAGAGCUCAAAAUGAUCAAUGACAGCACCUCACAUGCCAUGACAGUCUGCCUCGAAAGUAAUUAUUUGGUGUGUUGUCACAACAUCAUAUGAGACUCUGUAUUGUAGGACUCCAAUCCAACAUUUCCAAUGGGAGAACGUUACAUGACAGGGGCCAUUUGGCAAAAACAAUAUUCAACACAGUCAUGGCUUUAUCAACACUACCUGAGUUACAUUUAAUAAUUCUGUAUUUAGCAACUUUUUUUCUGAAAAGUAACAGCCCAGAGCCAUUCUUUCAAGGAGUAUUUCUUGUCAGUACAUAUAGAUUUUUCUAGUAAUUAUAAGAUAAAAGCAAUUAGUUUACAUAAAGUGCUAUUAAUCCACACAUUAACCAAAUCAUAGCUUCUAGAGAAAAGAAACCCAAACAGUUCCUUUGUUAUGUUGAUUAAACCAAUUUUGAUUUGGAGAUGGUGAUAAAAGUGAUGUCACAGCUGGCCAGUUAGCAGUUAGCAAAUUUGGGCUCCCUAGACUUAAGGAAAUCUUUCACCGUGAGCGUCUUUUUUUUUUCCCCUCACCAAAGAGAAAAACUAAAAUCAAUGUAGAAUUUGUGCAACAAACUGAACACGCACCUUAAACAUCCUGAACAAACUAAACUGAACUGCAGGCCACACCAGCAUCGUGGGUGAUGAUUUUGUAGCUCCACAUAACCCAUUUCACACGCAUGGAUCACACGGUGUUAUUGCACACUGGUUUGCAAACGUAAAAUGUUAUCCACAGUAAAACAUAAAACUCUAACGCAUCUUCACAUUUCGACACAGUUUGACAAAGUGGCUAGUUGGGGAGCCUAGAUUAGUAUUGCAAUGGUUGUGUUACUGUUAUCUUUACGUGGCGAUGAACCUCUGAUUCAUUCAUUUCCACUAGUAAACAUGCAAGAAAUACAGUGCCGUAAGGCAGUAAAGACCAAAUGCAAAAAAUAAAAUCAGAGUUGUAAAAUGCAACACAUGUUCCUUUGACAAGAGGAAUUGAACAGAAAUGUAGGCAAAAUAAUGUGUAGACAUCCUGAGUCUUGCUGCUGAACAAAGAGCACAAGACACAGAAGACCUCAAUGGAAGCAAUGUCUCUUGUUCUUUCUGAGCUUAUUCUGAAGUGCAGAAUUCUUAUAUUAGAAAGCGUAUGAACCUGAAUUGAGGAACAGUCAUGAAAUGUAUGAGAAGUUUCAAGAUAAAAAGGGUUUUGAAUUUAACGGAGACAUGACUUUAAAAUCAUUGACACGACUAAAACAAUGAAAUGAAGGGGCGUGGCUUUCCUUCAGACUGGGCACUUCUGUACCUGUGCUCUGCGGUUCAUACUACAAUGUAGAUAAUACUCAUGAUGUUAGGUCAUAUGAAACAGCAUAAAAGAAAAAGCGAACAUUUCAUUUCUGGGCUCUGAUUUUCCCUAAAGGAUUUAAGACAAGGUUCUCCCUUCCUGGAUGGGGCCUCACCUAUGAGCUUCCUCUUAACUUACAGUUUAACAGGACUCCAAAGAUGUUUCUUCCACAACUUGAAGGCAUUCUUUGCAAAGUGUCUUCUCCUUUCAUUCACAAUGAAUUCAAGCUUGCACACAGAUGUGUAUGUAUAACAUCUAACAUAUCUACAAUGAACUCAUCUGAACGUGUGAAGAAAGAAAAUGACUGAGGCAUCCCAUAGUCACGCUGACGGCUGCCGCAGUUCAACAGGAUAAAGGCUUAGGGAGGUGCAGUCCAAUACACCUUCCUUUGUUGAACUCCUGAACAUCAUCCCUAAAGAGCCGUGAGACAAACGACUAUCACGGCUCAAAGUUGCAAGAGUCCAUUCAUCAUGUUGGAGAGGCACCGAUCAACUCCUUUAACGUCCAUCCAGAACAUGUGUUCAUGUGUGCGUUUGUGUACGUUUGUGUUUUUCUGAUGCCCCGAAAGAAGUCUGUUACUCCACUCAAGAUUCCAAGGAAAAUCUGACAUGCUAAACUAUCAAAGUUUUCACAGUUGUCACUUUUAUCUAUCCAACAGGAUUUGUGAUUUCCAAGGUAGAUAACUGCAGCACCCAGAAGAGAAGAAGGUAAGUACUGUAGACGAUCUACCUCACUGAUCAGGUCCAUCCUUGGUCUCAUCAUAAAUCAC